Long non-coding RNA from Oncorhynchus nerka (sockeye salmon), 227 nucleotides. RefSeq lists it as uncharacterized. The transcript has 3 exons. The record is from RefSeq and is a predicted model, not a curated record. NCBI's taxonomy places the organism in Eukaryota, Metazoa, Chordata, Actinopteri, Salmoniformes, Salmonidae.
AGCACAGCAUCAUCCUCCGGACACAGUUAUCUGUCAGAGUUCACGCUUGUAUCGAGAAACUCUACAACUCAAAUGGACGAGAGCUGAGGAGAGCCCUGUUUUCCCUCAAACAGAUCUUUCAGGAUGACAAGGACCUGGUCCAUGAGUUUGUGGUGUCUGAAGGACUGACAUGUCUAAUCAAGGUCGGAGCUGAAGCAGACCAGAACUACCAGAAUUACAUCCUCAGG